This 87-nucleotide small RNA is filed under the name Marmota monax (woodchuck). The record is from RNAcentral. Lineage: Eukaryota; Metazoa; Chordata; Mammalia; Rodentia; Sciuridae.
GCCAGGUAAGGUGGCACAUGCCUGUAAUCCUAGUGGCUUGGGAGGCUGAGGCAGGAGGAUCAUGAGUUCAGUGAGGCCCUGUCUCUA